Molecule: ribosomal RNA, 253 nt
Filed under: uncultured bacterium
Lineage: Bacteria
Description: partial 16S ribosomal RNA
Rfam family: Bacterial small subunit ribosomal RNA
Source: RNAcentral
UACGUAGGGUGCGAGCGUUGUCCGGCAUUAUUGGGCGUAAAGGGCUCGUAGGCGGUUUGUCGCGUCGGGAGUGAAAACCCAGGGCUUAACUCUGGGCUGGCUUUCGAUACGGGCAGACUAGAGGUAUGCAGGGGAGAACGGAAUUCCUGGUGUAGCGGUGAAAUGCGCAGAUAUCAGGAGGAACACCGAUGGCGAAGGCAGGUCUCUGGGCAUUAACUGACGCUGAGGAGCGAAAGCAUGGGGAGCGAACAGG